GGUGAUUGGUUUCUGGCUCCUGAUGCCAUCUGCCUCGUCAAUAUCCUGUCUUGAGUUGAUUUGAUUGAUCGGGCUGGCUAGAAAGGUAUUGCCUACCUCCCUCACUGCUCCAUGUGCAUCCUUCCUGAACAUGCGCAUUUGGUUGAAGAAUUCUGCCUUCCCUGAUAGAGGAGGACCAAUGUUUUGUCAAGGGUACAUGAAUUGCUGGACUCCUCUUUGAGAACCUCCAAACAGCUCUCAAGAUCCUCUUUAUAUGGAAACACCUAUUUAUAUUGUCUUUAUGCUCCUCAGAAAACACACACAUGCACACACACACACACAUGCAUAUAUGCAUAUGCACACAUGCACACAUGCACACAU
RNAcentral lists this small nuclear RNA (360 nucleotides) under Microtus ochrogaster (prairie vole). RNAcentral describes it as "7SK RNA (ENSMOCG00000008069.1)". The stretch from base 1 to 306 matches the Rfam family "7SK RNA". From Rfam's summary of the family: 7SK was discovered as an abundant small nuclear RNA in the mid-70s but a possible function has only recently been suggested. Two independent studies have found that 7SK RNA binds the CDK9/cyclin T complex (known as elongation factor P-TEFb). P-TEFb activates transcription by phosphorylating the C-terminal domain of RNA polymerase II. The record is from RNAcentral. Lineage: Eukaryota; Metazoa; Chordata; Mammalia; Rodentia; Cricetidae.